CACACACACACAUACACACACACGCCCGCAUGGGAACGAACACAUCAAAAACAGUGAAAAAUUCCUUCCACACAUUCACAUGCCUUCUAGUGGAAACUUGUCCAAAUGAAUUAAUCACUUUACUCAGCAGCCAAGUGGAUGAUGUGUCUAUUGUUGCUGCUGACAGGCGGCGCGGCGCAGAGGAUAUAAAAGAAAAGGCUCAAAGAAAAAGAAGAAACAAUAGGGAAGCAUCUUGCUGGCGGUGACAGGGCAGGGCGCAGGGC
Drosophila pseudoobscura is the source of this 263-nucleotide long non-coding RNA. RefSeq lists it as uncharacterized. The transcript is spliced from 2 exons. NCBI's taxonomy places the organism in Eukaryota, Metazoa, Arthropoda, Insecta, Diptera, Drosophilidae. The record is from RefSeq and is a predicted model, not a curated record.